This 429-nucleotide ribosomal RNA is filed under the name uncultured Actinomycetes bacterium. RNAcentral describes it as "bacterial SSU rRNA". It matches the Rfam family "Bacterial small subunit ribosomal RNA", at positions 233 to 671 of the family's 1533-position model. The record is from RNAcentral. Lineage: Bacteria; Bacillati; Actinomycetota; Actinomycetes.
GCGGCCUGUCAGCUUGUUGGUGAGGUAAUGGCUCACCAAGGCGACGACGGGUAGCCGGCCUGAGAGGGCGACCGGCCACACUGGGACUGAGACACGGCCCAGACUCCUACGGGAGGCAGCANCUGGGGAAUAUUGGGCAAUGGAGGAAACUCUGACCCAGCGACGCCGCGUGAGGGAUGAAGGCCUUCGGGUUGUAAACCUCUUUCAGUAGGGAAGAAGCGAAAGUGACGGUACCUACAGAAGAAGCACCGGCUAACUAUGUGCCAGCAGCCGCGGUAAUACAUAGGGUGCAAGCGUUGUCCGGAAUUAUUGGGCGUAAAGAGCUCGUANGUGGUUCGAUACGUCGGACGUGAAAAAUCAGGGGCUCAACCCCUGACCUGCAUUCGAUACGGGUCGAACUAGAGUUUGGUANGGGAGACUGGAAUUCCU